RNAcentral lists this ribosomal RNA (253 nucleotides) under uncultured bacterium. RNAcentral's name for it is "partial 16S ribosomal RNA". It matches the Rfam family "Bacterial small subunit ribosomal RNA", at positions 524 to 776 of the family's 1533-position model. The record is from RNAcentral.
UACGUAGGGUGCAGGCGUUAAUCGGAAUUACUGGGCGUAAAGCGUGCGCAGGCGGCUCCUUAAGUCAGAUGUGAAAUCCCCGGGCUCAACCUGGGACCUGCAUUUGUGACUGCAUCGCUGGAGUACGGUAGAGGGGGAUGGAAUUCCGCGUGUAGCAGUGAAAUGCGUAGAUAUGCGGAGGAACACCGAUGGCGAAGGCAAUCCCCUGGACCUGUACUGACGCUCAUGCACGAAAGCGUGGGGAGCAAACAGG